UGAAAUUGAUCAAACACAAAUCUCAAGAUACUCUGGAAGGUCUUUCUCAGAGCAGAGUAACAGGUCCUCUGCACAUCAAUCCAGUCGUACAGGGCCUCGUAGGGUAACGGACUUAAGAUUUCCAAUGGAUAUGGCAAAGUUUCAGAAAAAAGUCUUGUCUAAAUUGGUGGAAAUCCACAUGGAGGUCAGAAGGUUGGGAAGAAGUGAGCCUCCCCUUUCAUCCACCCAUACAGAGCAGCUGGAGACGAUGGAGGACUUUGAGAGAGAGGAGGAACGCCUCAAGGACAAGCAAGCCUUUGAGCCUCUGGCAUGAUUUGCAAGACAUACUCUGGAGGUGUUGCAACUUGCAGGAAUUGGAGGGAAAGAUGUAAGGGAUUGUGUCCAUAAAAUUCUUGACAGGUAUUUUCAAC
This is a long non-coding RNA of Sinocyclocheilus grahami, 410 nucleotides long. RefSeq lists it as uncharacterized. The record is from RefSeq and is a predicted model, not a curated record. The transcript has 3 exons. NCBI's taxonomy places the organism in Eukaryota, Metazoa, Chordata, Actinopteri, Cypriniformes, Cyprinidae.